UGUUGUGUUUAUUUACAGUGUGAUGUCUCGCUCUUCAUUGUGUAGUUUUUGUAUUAAAGUGUGUGUCUUUGUGUGUUUGUUCAGGUGACAAGUGUUUGAGCGACAGUUCGUUCAGUUAUGAUCCAGAGUUCAGCUGCUGCAGCUCGUAAUCAUUUAUGGCCAUCAGAUCAUGAAGUGUGUGGACAGGGCGGGGUUUCAUCACACCAUGCCGGACCGCUAAUGGCUGAAGAGGAAAAACCACAAGACAGCUGCAGCUUCCUCCUCCUCUGUGGGCCGCAGGGGCUGAUGGGAGGUUCCAGGACCUGAUCUCACAGCUCGUCCUCGUUAGAGAGCCACUUCUCCUCAGGUCCACCCGAGGAACCCCCCCCCCCCCCCCC
Molecule: long non-coding RNA, 377 nt
Organism: Pleuronectes platessa (European plaice)
Lineage: Eukaryota; Metazoa; Chordata; Actinopteri; Pleuronectiformes; Pleuronectidae
Exons: 3
Source: RefSeq, a predicted model, not a curated record